RNAcentral lists this ribosomal RNA (525 nucleotides) under uncultured bacterium. RNAcentral's name for it is "bacterial SSU rRNA". It matches the Rfam family "Bacterial small subunit ribosomal RNA", at positions 355 to 896 of the family's 1533-position model. The record is from RNAcentral.
UGGGGAAUAUUGGACAAUGGGGGAAACCCUGAUCCAGCGACGCCGCGUGAGUGAAGAAGUAUUUCGGUAUGUAAAGCUCUAUCAGCAGGGAAGAAAAUGACGGUACCUGACUAAGAAGCCCCGGCUAACUACGUGCCAGCAGCCGCGGUAAUACGUAGGGGGCAAGCGUUAUCCGGAUUUACUGGGUGUAAAGGGAGCGCAGACGGCGAAGCAAGUCUGAAGUGAAAUGCAUGGGCUCAACCCAUGAAUUGCUUUGGAAACUGUUUGGCUUGAGUGUCGGAGGGGUAAGCGGAAUUCCUAGUGUAGCGGUGAAAUGCGUAGAUAUUAGGAGGAACACCGGAGGCGAAGGCGGCUUACUGGACGACAACUGACGUUGAGGCUCGAAGGCGUGGGGAGCAAACAGGAUUAGAUACCCUGGUAGUCCACGCAGUAAACGACGAAUACUUGGUGUCGGGGAGGCAAACUCUUCGGUGCCGCAAGCAAACGCAUUAAGUAUUCCACCUGGGGAGUACGUUCGCAAGAAUG